Molecule: long non-coding RNA, 245 nt
Filed under: Salvia miltiorrhiza (redroot sage)
Lineage: Eukaryota; Viridiplantae; Streptophyta; Magnoliopsida; Lamiales; Lamiaceae
Description: long non-coding RNA (SMIL_LNC004511)
Source: RNAcentral
CAAAAAAACCGUUGUGUAUAGUGGUGUUAUCUAUUCUAUACGUCAUACACAACGGUUUCAAAACCGUUAUGUAUAGUAGCAUAGAUAACGGUACGAUGCGUCAUACAUAACAGUACGCAUCUGUUAUCUAUAAAGGUUAUACAUAACGGUUUUUCACCGUUAUGUAUUAAGAUUUUUCCAUUAUGUAUUAAUUUUUUUUUAUUUUUUUUUAUCAUAGUUAACAGUUUUUUGUACUUUUUAUAACG